AAAAACAUAGCUUCUGGAUUUUAUCAGAAGUUACGUCUGCCCGGUGAUUCGUGAAAUUUAACGGCCGCUUUUUGUGCUAAGGUAGCAUAAUAAUUUGCCUUUUUAUUGGAGGCUAAAUGAAUGGAUUAACGAAGCUUAACUGUCUCUAAUUAUUAAUUAAAAAUUGGUUUAAAGGUGAAAAAUCCUUUAUUUUAGUGAAGGACGAUAAGACCCUAUAGAGUUUAUAGUAGAACUAAAUUAGUAGGUUUAUUAUUUAAUUUUAUAACAAAUUAACUUAGUAUACUUUUAUUGGGGCAAUAAAAGAACAAAAAAACUCUUAAAUAAUUAAAUUUAUUAUAAUAAAUUUUUGAUCCUCAAAGAGAACUGAGAAAAACUACCUUAGGGAUAACAGCGUUAUUUUACCAGAGAGGUCUAAUUGAAGGUAGAGUUUGCGACCUCNAUGUUGGACUAAGGUAACUUUAAAGUGCANAAUCUUUNNNAUGUAGGCCUGUUCGGCCUUUAAAUCCUUACAUGAUCUGAGUUCAAACCGGAGA
This 533-nucleotide ribosomal RNA is filed under the name Beania magellanica. Its description in RNAcentral is "partial 16S ribosomal RNA". It matches the Rfam family "Bacterial large subunit ribosomal RNA", at positions 1809 to 2622 of the family's 2925-position model. Lineage: Eukaryota; Metazoa; Bryozoa; Gymnolaemata; Cheilostomatida; Beaniidae. The record is from RNAcentral.